GGCGCAUUCUUCUAACGGUUAGGAAAUCUGAUUCUCAAUCAGGAAAUAGCAGUCCGAUUCUGCUAUGCGCUA
Molecule: transfer RNA, 72 nt
Filed under: Prolixibacteraceae bacterium
Lineage: Bacteria; Pseudomonadati; Bacteroidota; Bacteroidia; Marinilabiliales; Prolixibacteraceae
Description: tRNA-Glu
Rfam family: tRNA
About the family: Transfer RNA (tRNA) molecules are approximately 80 nucleotides in length.
Source: RNAcentral